AUUUUCCUAUAUUCUUCCAUGCUGAUGACCGUGCAGCAGAGUUGGAGUGGACCUCUUGUUGUUCAUACUUCUCCAGGCACUAUGAACCAUCUGACUAGCCAUCCUGUUUAACACUGCACUGAGGACACUACAACCAGAGAGAUGCUGUCAUGAAAAGGCAACUGCUGGACACCUGGGACAGGCCAUCAAUUCCAAGUUGGCGGAACUGAGGUUUCAACUGAAGAAAAAGGAGACCUGUUAGAGUUUAGAGUUGUCUAAUAGAGAGGGUGAAGGAAGA
Cyprinus carpio (common carp) is the source of this 277-nucleotide long non-coding RNA. RefSeq lists it as uncharacterized. The transcript is spliced from 3 exons. Lineage: Eukaryota; Metazoa; Chordata; Actinopteri; Cypriniformes; Cyprinidae. The record is from RefSeq and is a predicted model, not a curated record.